GUGGGGAAUAUUGGACAAUGGGCGAAAGCCUGAUCCAGCCAUGCCGCGUGUGUGAAGAAGGUCUUCGGAUUGUAAAGCACUUUAAGUUGGGAGGAAGGGCAGUAAGUUAAUACCUUGCUGUUUUGACGUUACCGACAGAAUAAGCACCGGCUAACUUCGUGCCAGCAGCCGCGGUAAUACGAAGGGUGCAAGCGUUAAUCGGAAUUACUGGGCGUAAAGCGCGCGUCGGUGGUUUUGUAAGUUCGAGGUGAAAACCCCGGGCUCAACAUGGGAACUGCCUGCAAAACUGCAUGACUAGAGUACGGGAGAGGGUAGUGGAAUUUCCUGUGUAGCGGUGAAAUGCGUAGAUAUAGGAAGGAACACCAGUGGCGAAGGCGACUACCUGGACUGAUACUGACACUGAGGUGCGAAAGCGUGGGGAGCAAACAGGAUUAGAAACCCGUGUAGUCC
RNAcentral lists this ribosomal RNA (450 nucleotides) under uncultured bacterium. Its description in RNAcentral is "partial 16S ribosomal RNA". It matches the Rfam family "Bacterial small subunit ribosomal RNA", at positions 354 to 796 of the family's 1533-position model. The record is from RNAcentral.